UACGUAGGGGGCAAGCGUUGUCCGGAUUUAUUGGGCGUAAAGCGCGUGUAGGCGGCUAUGCAGGUCCGCUGUGAAAACUCGAGGCUCAACCUCGAGACGUCGGUGGAAACCGCAUGGCUAGAGUCCGGAAGAGGAGAGUGGAAUUCCCGGUGUAGCGGUGAAAUGCGCAGAUAUCGGGAAGAACACCCGUGGCGAAGGCGGCUUCCUGGACUAAUACUGACGCUGAGGUGCGAAAGCGUGGGGAGCAAACAGG
RNAcentral lists this ribosomal RNA (253 nucleotides) under uncultured bacterium. RNAcentral describes it as "partial 16S ribosomal RNA". It matches the Rfam family "Bacterial small subunit ribosomal RNA", at positions 524 to 776 of the family's 1533-position model. The record is from RNAcentral.